AAGAGAAGCAAACGGAAUUCUGAUAAAUUAACUAGAAAAGAGAAGAUGAGAACACAUGAGCUAGCAAAGGCUUUUGAUAGUUUGAAAAAUGUUCUUCCAAUUCAUCCCAAGGAUACUUCAAGGGACCGUGAUAAGCUGAGCAGAAGAGAACUGUUAGAUCUAGCAGUUAAAUAUAUUAAAUUCCUUAAAUCUGUUCUGAUCAUGCAAGAACAUGGUGAAAUAUAAAUUUUAUAACAAAAAACUCGCCUUUCUCUGUAAUCAGAGCUGGGAACUUAUGUUCUGUGGAUAUCUAGAUUAAUGCUUGAUCUCGAUCUUUUGUUAAUCUUCAGAUUAAUUUAAUCUUAAUUCGAUACCCGGCCCUGCAUGGUAAUCUUGUUAGGAUUGAAGGGAGCUUUAUUCAGGGGAGGAAUACUAAAAUGAAAAUAUGGAAAUGUCUAGCUUUUUGCUAGAUCUUAAAUCAAAAGUGCCCACAAUGGAUAUCGAGAUCCUACAGAAAAGUUCCCAGCUCAGGUAGCUUCAUUAAAAAUUGUAAGUAAGAGUAGUUAAGUUCAGUUAAAAUACACCAAAGCAUAAGUGCACCAUCCUGACCGUAUUAUCUGUACUUUAUACUUAAAUAAAGUUAGUUGAAUAUAGACUCUGGU
Molecule: long non-coding RNA, 641 nt
Organism: Eurytemora carolleeae
Lineage: Eukaryota; Metazoa; Arthropoda; Copepoda; Calanoida; Temoridae
Exons: 3
Source: RefSeq, a predicted model, not a curated record